Molecule: ribosomal RNA, 253 nt
Filed under: uncultured bacterium
Lineage: Bacteria
Description: partial 16S ribosomal RNA
Rfam family: Bacterial small subunit ribosomal RNA
Source: RNAcentral
UACAGAGGGUGCGAGCGUUAAUCGGAAUUACUGGGCGUAAAGCGUGCGUAGACGGCUAUCUAAGUCGGGUGUGAAAGCCCCGGGCUCAACCUGGGAAUUGCAUUCGAGACUGAAUAGCUAGGGUACGGUAGAGGGAAGUGGAAUUUCCGGUGUAGCGGUGAAAUGCGUAGAUAUGCGGAGGAACACCGAUGGCGAAGGCAAUCCCCUGGGCCUGCACUGACGCUCAUGCACGAAAGCGUGGGGAGCAAACAGG